AUGUUUUAAAAAAGUAACACAUUAAUUGUGAGUAGAUGGGGUGAAGGUUUGCAUUUACAUGAGGGACAUGAACUAACGACGAUGAAAGUGGGGUAAAUAAUUGAACGGCGACACAAGUAGAAUGUGUAGCAGUGACGACAUGACUAGAAUGUGUAGCAAAAGGAGGCGUAAAUCCAAACAGUGACACAAUCAGAGGCACGAACAACGAUGACACGAGCAACGACAUUGGAUUGAGCAACAAGGAUAAUGUAAACAUCGAGGAGGGUGGAUAACACUACAAACAAGAGAGAAGUUUAAAACGAGAGAAAAAAACAACACAUGUCGUUCGGGAAAAGAAAAUGGAAUAUGAAAAGUUGCACAUGCCUUUUAACAAUGAUUGAAGUAGGGAAUCAUCAUUGUUUCUCUAUUGUGCCACUUUUAAUGGCA
This 426-nucleotide long non-coding RNA is filed under the name Vigna radiata. RNAcentral's name for it is "long non-coding RNA (VRAD_LNC003340)". Lineage: Eukaryota; Viridiplantae; Streptophyta; Magnoliopsida; Fabales; Fabaceae. The record is from RNAcentral.